CUACGGAGGGUGCAAGCGUUAAUCGGAAUUACUGGGCGUAAAGCGCGCGUAGGCGGACUGAUCAGUUGGGGGUGAAAUCCCAGGGCUUAACCCUGGAGCUGCCUCCAAUACUGUCAGUCUUGAGUUCGGGAGAGGUGAGUGGAAUUCCUAGUGUAGAGGUGAAAUUCGUAGAUAUUAGGAAGAACACCAGUGGCGAAGGCGGCUCACUGGCCCGAUACUGACGCUGAGGCGCGAAAGCGUGGGGAGCAAACAGGAUUAGAAACCCGAGUAGUCC
RNAcentral lists this ribosomal RNA (274 nucleotides) under uncultured bacterium. RNAcentral describes it as "partial 16S ribosomal RNA". It matches the Rfam family "Bacterial small subunit ribosomal RNA", at positions 523 to 796 of the family's 1533-position model. The record is from RNAcentral.